RNAcentral lists this ribosomal RNA (724 nucleotides) under Comamonas thiooxydans. RNAcentral's name for it is "partial 16S rRNA". The record is from RNAcentral. Lineage: Bacteria; Pseudomonadati; Pseudomonadota; Betaproteobacteria; Burkholderiales; Comamonadaceae.
UGAGCGUCAGUGCAGGCCCAGGGGAUUGCCUUCGCCAUCGGUGUUCCUCCGCAUAUCUACGCAUUUCACUGCUACACGCGGAAUUCCAUCCCCCUCUGCCGCACUCUAGCCUUGCAGUCACAAUGGCAGUUCCCAGGUUGAGCCCGGGGAUUUCACCACUGUCUUACAAAACCGCCUGCGCACGCUUUACGCCCAGUAAUUCCGAUUAACGCUUGCACCCUACGUAUUACCGCGGCUGCUGGCACGUAGUUAGCCGGUGCUUAUUCUUACGGUACCGUCAUGACCCGGGGAUAUUAGCCCCAGGCUUUUCGUUCCGUACAAAAGCAGUUUACAACCCGAGGGCCUUCAUCCUGCACGCGGCAUUGCUGGAUCAGGCUUUCGCCCAUUGUCCAAAAUUCCCCACUGCUGCCUCCCGUAGGAGUCUGGGCCGUGUCUCAGUCCCAGUGUGGCUGGUCGUCCUCUCAGACCAGCUACAGAUCGCAGGCUUGGUAAGCCUUUACCCCACCAACUACCUAAUCUGCCAUCAGCCGCUCUAGUAGCACAAGGCCCGAAGGUCCCCUGCUUUCAUCCGUAGAUCUCAUGCGGUAUUAGCUACUCUUUCGAGUAGUUAUCCCCCACUACUAGGCACGUUCCGAUGUAUUACUCACCCGUUCGCCACUCGUCAGCAUCCGAAGACCUGUUACCGUUCGACUUGCAUGUGUAAAGCAUGCCGCCAGCGUUCAAU